Molecule: ribosomal RNA, 253 nt
Filed under: uncultured bacterium
Lineage: Bacteria
Description: partial 16S ribosomal RNA
Rfam family: Bacterial small subunit ribosomal RNA
Source: RNAcentral
UACGUAGGGUGCGAGCGUUGUCCGGAAUUACUGGGCGUAAAGAGCUCGUAGGUGGUUUGUCGCGUUGUUCGUGAAAACUCACAGCUUAACUGUGGGCGUGCGGGCGAUACGGGCAGACUGGAGUACUGCAGGGGAGACUGGAAUUCCUGGUGUAGCGGUGGAAUGCGCAGAUAUCAGGAGGAACAUCCGUGGCGAAGGCGGCUCUCUGGGACGGUACUGACGCUGAGACGCGAAAGCGUGGGGAGCGAACAGG